Molecule: ribosomal RNA, 485 nt
Filed under: Cassava witches'-broom aster yellows phytoplasma
Lineage: Bacteria; Bacillati; Mycoplasmatota; Mollicutes; Acholeplasmatales; Acholeplasmataceae
Description: bacterial SSU rRNA
Rfam family: Bacterial small subunit ribosomal RNA
Source: RNAcentral
UGAGGCACGAAAGCGUGGGGAGCAAACAGGAUUAGAUACCCUGGUAGUCCACGCCGUAAACGAUGAGUACUAAAUGUUGGGUAAAACCAGUGUUGAAGUUAACACAUUAAGUACUCCGCCUGAGUAGUACGUACGCAAGUAUGAAACUUAAAGGAAUUGACGGGACUCCGCACAAGCGGUGGAUCAUGUUGUUUAAUUCGAAGGUACCCGAAAAACCUCACCAGGUCUUGACAUGCUUCUGCAAAGCUGUAGAAACACAGUGGAGGUUAUCAGUUGCACAGGUGGUGCAUGGUUGUCGUCAGCUCGUGUCGUGAGAUGUUGGGUUAAGUCCCGCAACGAGCGCAACCCUUAUUGUUAGUUGCCAGCACGUAAUGGUGGGGACUUUAGCAAGACUGCCAGUGAUAAAUUGGAGGAAGGUGGGGACGACGUCAAAUCAUCAUGCCCCUUAUGACCUGGGCUACAAACGUGAUACAAUGGCUGUUACA